Molecule: long non-coding RNA, 418 nt
Organism: Gallus gallus (chicken)
Lineage: Eukaryota; Metazoa; Chordata; Aves; Galliformes; Phasianidae
Source: Ensembl
GACAAGGAGAAUGCUGAGGUGCUCCAACAUUUUUUGCACUAGUCUUCACUGGCAACCUCUCUUCAAACAGCAUUCGAGUGGAGGAAUUGUAAGUUCCAGGCACCUGUCCAGAAGAGAAGAAAUACAUACCCCAGGGGGCUUUGCGGUCAGAGGGAAGAUAUUACCCCUGGUUUAUGACUUCUUCAAGGAACGGUGGGAGAGAGAUCCACCUGUGGGACUUCUGCAAUUACAUUGAAUAUUUGUGUGCUCAUUUGAAGAAGGAAAGAGAGGGAGAGAGAGAGGGAGAUACCCAUGCUGCAGCCCAUGGAUGAGGCCAAAAUAGGGUUGGUGAGCAUGACAUGAAUGAGACUGAAAUCUGACAAUAGGAGCCUGUAGAGAAGGAUGCUGUGGGGAUCUGCACCCCGUGGUGAACACAUGC